Molecule: non-coding RNA, 825 nt
Organism: Archocentrus centrarchus (flier cichlid)
Lineage: Eukaryota; Metazoa; Chordata; Actinopteri; Cichliformes; Cichlidae
Source: the annotation of a RefSeq genome assembly
AGGACUCCCACUGUCAGAUCCAUUCAGUAUCUAAAGCAUACAGAACAGAUAGUGUGUGGAAGAUGCUGUCACUGCAUUACUGGCUCAUGUUUCCUUUGUUUCUGAUCACACUAACAGGUGUCAGCUGUGAUCAACUCACUGCAGUCAAGGAGGAAGAGUCCAGUUUAGAAGGCACCACUGUUACUCUGUCCUACAGACUAUCCAGAGAUGCUAAGAGCAAUGAUUAUUUCUUCUGGUAUAGACAAUAUCCAGGAAAACCACCAGAGCUCCUGAUCUCACACUCUUAUUCAGGAUCAAAAGGAACAGAAAAAAUUCCUGGACUGAAGAUUAAAGUGGAGAAAAACCAAUUCAACAUGAACAUCUCCUCUGCUGCAGUGACAGACUCUGCUGUGUACUACUGUGCUCUGCAGCCCACAGUGACAAGAAACAGCAAAACUCUGUACAAAAACCUUUGGAGCAAAGACAACAGAAUACUCCACAACAUCCACUAGAGGGAGCCACACACUGUUAAACCUCUAUGGUUUUCAUCUAUUUCAGUGACAUGUACCAACACAGUGCAGAGCAGCUACCUAGUCCCACAGAGGUCAGUUAUCCCAUCAGUAGUCUUAAAUCCUCUCUGCAUACAAGUCUGGGUACUGUGGCUCCUCUGAAAAACAAAACUUCAAAUCAGAAGUGAUUGACUCUGUGGUAUAACUCACAAAUAUGCAGCUUGAAGCAGAUAACCCGUAAGCUGGAGAGGAAAUGACAGCUCAUUUAUUUAGAAGAGCUUCAUUCAGCCUGGAAAAAGAGUUUGUUGCUCUAAAAAAAAAAAAAAAAAAAAAAAAA